Molecule: ribosomal RNA, 1491 nt
Filed under: uncultured bacterium
Lineage: Bacteria
Description: bacterial SSU rRNA
Rfam family: Bacterial small subunit ribosomal RNA
Source: RNAcentral
AGAGUUUGAUCCUGGCUCAGGAUGAACGCUAGCUACAGGCUUAACACAUGCAAGUCGAGGGGCAGCAUGGUCUUAGCUUGCUAAGGCCGAUGGCGACCGGCGCACGGGUGAGUAACGCGUAUCCAACCUGCCUUACACUCUUGGACAGCCUUCUGAAAGGGAGAUUAAUACAAGAUGUUAUCAUGAGUAAGCAUUUUCGCAUGAUUAAAGGUUUACCGGUGUAAGAUGGGGAUGCGUUCCAUUAGAUAGUAGGCGGGGUAACGGCCCACCUAGUCUUCGAUGGAUAGGGGUUCUGAGAGGAAGGUCCCCCACAUUGGAACUGAGACACGGUCCAAACUCCUACGGGAGGCAGCAGUGAGGAAUAUUGGUCAAUGGACGAGAGUCUGAACCAGCCAAGUAGCGUGAAGGAUGAAGGCUCUAUGGAUUGUAAACUUCUUUUAUACGGGAAUAAACGGAUCCACGCGUGGAUUUUUGCAUGUACCGUAUGAAUAAGGAUCGGCUAACUCCGUGCCAGCAGCCGCGGUAAUACGGAGGAUCCGAGCGUUAUCCGGAUUUAUUGGGUUUAAAGGGAGCGUAGAUGGGUUGUUAAGUCAGUUGUGAAAGUUUGCGGCUCAACCGUAAAAUUGCAAUUGAUACUGGCAGUCUUGAGUACAGUUGAGGUAGGCGGAAUUCGUGGUGUAGCGGUGAAAUGCUUAGAUAUCACGAAGAACUCCGAUUGCGAAGGCAGCUUACUAACCUGUAACUGACAUUGAUGCUCGAAAGUGUGGGUAUCAAACAGGAUUAGAUACCCUGGUAGUCCACACGGUAAACGAUGAAUACUCGCUGUAGGCGAUAUACAGUCUGCGGCCAAGCGAAAGCAUUAAGUAUUCCACCUGGGGAGUACGCCGGCAACGGUGAAACUCAAAGGAAUUGACGGGGGCCCGCACAAGCGGAGGAACAUGUGGUUUAAUUCGAUGAUACGCGAGGAACCUUACCCGGGCUUAAAUUGCAACCGAAUAUGGCGGAAACGCUAUAGCUAGCAAUAGCGGUUGUGAAGGUGCUGCAUGGUUGUCGUCAGCUCGUGCCGUGAGGUGUCGGCUUAAGUGCCAUAACGAGCGCAACCCUUGCCGAUAGUUACUAACAGGUUAUGCUGAGGACUCUGUCGGGACUGCCAUCGUAAGAUGUGAGGAAGGUGGGGAUGACGUCAAAUCAGCACGGCCCUUACGUCCGGGGCUACACACGUGUUACAAUGGGGGGUACAGAGGGCUGCUACCACGCAAGUGGAUGCCAAUCCCAAAAACCUCUCUCAGUUCGGAUUGAAGUCUGCAACCCGACUUCAUGAAGCUGGAUUCGCUAGUAAUCGCGCAUCAGCCACGGCGCGGUGAAUACGUUCCCGGGCCUUGUACACACCGCCCGUCAAGCCAUGGGAGCCGGGGGUACCUGAAGUGCGUAACCGCAAGGAGCGCCCUAGGGUAAAACUGGUGACUGGGGCUAAGUCGUAACAAGGUAGCC